RNAcentral lists this long non-coding RNA (5775 nucleotides) under Bemisia tabaci. RNAcentral describes it as "lncRNA ENSSWEETPG005936". Lineage: Eukaryota; Metazoa; Arthropoda; Insecta; Hemiptera; Aleyrodidae. The record is from RNAcentral.
AUUAUAUCGUAAUGCAGCCAGUAAGGACAUGUGCUUGAGGGUUUACAUUGCGAUUCUAAACAUGAGUUGAGUAUAUUUGAGUAUGACAAUGUGUAAAAAGAGAGACAAAAAUUAAGUUAGUUAGCUUAAUGUAUAGUAAAUAAUAUUCUUUAAACUUUUUCCUGCUACUUACCACUGCUGAAAAGCAGCUACCUAUUUAAAAAAUCUGUAACUUCAAAAAGGGUGGAAGUCUAAGUUUUUCAAACUCUUUUUUUUUUUUUUUGCAUUUUUGAUGCCCUUUUAAUGUAACAGUCCCGUUCCUGUACGUCUUAAUCCUGUUCCAAGAAGUGCACUACAGCUGCUUUCUUUGGUAAUAUGGCAAGGAAAACUGAAAAGUUCAAAAAUGCAGGGGAAAAAAAAAAGAUUUUAAAAAGGACCUCCGCUCACUAUUUUAAGUACCGAUUCAAUGGAGGAUCAAGGUCCCUGAAUCUUCAUCAUCUAAUAUUUUGUUCGAUAUUCGUCUCAAGAUGUCACUAAGUUCUGUUUCUUCAUUUUGUUUGGGUUGGGUAGCUGUGAAGGACGUGCAUGUGAAGCAUGCUGCUGCGUAGACCCCUUGAAUGGAGACACUGGAAACCUUCCAAACGGAGAGAGAUAUGCCUUGAUUUUCUGAAUAUCUUGGCAUUGAAGUUACUUCAGACCCACGGACGCAAUUAAGCUGAGCGAGAGCGGCUCGUGCUGAUCAAAUGGCAUUAACUCUGUCAACUAGGGCCUAUUUGGAAUUCCAUCUGUCUAGACGUGUCACCUUCGGAACAUCUUUAGAUUUGCUCCUGGAGCUCAUUUCUAGUCAGUAUGAAAAAGAUUUUGUCGUCAACAAACUCGCCACCGACAUCAUCCUAUAUUUGGCGAAGGAAACUGUUGCUCAACUUGUAGACUUAGCUCUUCUGAUCAGAAUGGAUAGUCAAAGCAGCUCAGAUGAUCCCUACGAGGGCCUCAGUGUUGUGUAACCAUGCUGUGAAUCGCAAGAACAUCUACGGUUCUGCCAACCAACAAGUAAGUUUGGUGUCAGGUACAUUGAUUGCAUGCCUAUGAGCAGGAAGUUUUGAAUUGAUGCAUCAAAAAAUUUAAUAUCUGUGUUAGGUGUUAUUUUCAGUACUCUCACCUUACAAAUGUGUUGUAUGUACAUGAAAUUUAGAGGAGAAAACCCAUAUCAUAAUGCUUAAAUUCGCAUCUUGCUUAGUGGUCCAGUUAAAUAUCAGUAGCAUCUGGAAGGUGCAUCUGUCUUGAAUUUUAAAUAGGGACCCAGCCAAUCCAUAAAUAAUGUUUCUUAUUUAGAUUUUUCAGUCUCUCCAGCAAAUUGCGAAGCUUUUCAUCAAACUAACUCUUAUAUUCUCAUUCGUUUUUCAGAUUGAAGGCCCACCUGCUAUCAGCCCUGAAGAAUUCAAGAGGUAAUACGGAGGUAUUGGUCAACGCAAACUUUCGCUUUUGGUAGUUUCACAAGGAACAUCGAUGCCCGAAUCUAUGAAAAACUGCUUGCUUGUUGAAACCAAGUACUCCCAUCAAUCAUUCAUGAUUGAGGUCAGCCAAGGCCAGGAUUAUUCCUGCUGUUUGUGGCAUCCAUUACCAAUCUGAGAAAUCUCAAAGAGCCUGAGACAAAAACAAUCAGAAUUUAUGGUAAUCAUGAUUUUUUGGAAAUGAAUGUCUGAAUUAGCAUUGAUUUUCAGACAAAGUGAUCUGAAUAAUCUGGUGCCUGAUAUUUCAAAGGAGAAUUUUAAAAAGGACAUGAAAAUAUAUAUGAGAGGAAAAAGUACAUAACUGUCCACAGCACAUUUCAGUUAUAAAGUUCGGAUUCUUAAUUCUUAAUUUUAAAUAUUUUUUAUGGAAAUUGGUAUCAUAGAAUGACUGUCCAUAGAAUUAUGGACAAAAAACACUUAUCAUAUGCAUGAUUUGAUCAGCUUACAUACAUAUAAAAUAAGCAGUCUCUCCAGAUUGUGAUUUCAAAGUAAAAUUAGCCCAGUUAUGAGACACCACUUGGUUACAAUCCAUAACAAAGUUAAUCUUAUUAAAUGCGUCAGAAUUUAAAUCAGGAAGAAGGUCGUCUAAAUUUGCCAAAUUAAUGUCAGCACCGCUCUCGCCGUCUUCAACAAGAGAAUUAGAGGAGGUGAGAGUAUCACACUAAAAUAAUAAAGAAGGAUCUGAGAUAGGUGGACUCUCAAGGUCAAUGUUCCCCUCUGUAUUCUGAGUUUUCUGUUUUUAUACAUGGUAUAAUACUACCAAACUUGCAUCUUCAACAUCAAAUUGUAAAAUGGUUUCAUAUAAAUUUGAAGACUUUGCUGGUCACGUAAUACUUUAAAGUCCAUCGAUUGUAUGUGGCAUCUUCAAACUCUUAUAAGGUUGCAGAUCCUGUUGCCAUCGAUUUUGCUCUUCUUUUUUGAGAAAAGGAGGAGCAUUUUCCAGAAUUUAUAAGGAGCAGUUAUUUUUUUUUUUUCUCAAUUUUCAAUGACAUUCUGUAUUAUCGUAUUUUUAAUUCGAAAAGAUAAUUCAAUUAAAGCUUCUAGGUAAUAAAAUACCUGUCUUCAAAUUCAUGAUUUCACUUCAUCAAAACGCUCACUUUACUUUGAAAGUCUCUUUAAGUAUCUUCUUUAAUUUUAACUUUUAUUUGCAAGUAACAAGAGCCCGAGGAGGAUCUUCACUGAUUUCACUAAAGGACACUAUCUGGGGUUGGCUAAAAUCUUAUGUUGCUGACAAGCUUCUUUCUUCAUAAUAUUAAAGGUAGAUGACGCUUGAAAAACAUCAGUCACAGCCUAAAUAAUUAAUUCUAUAUUAGUUAAGAGGAAGAUCUGAUAUUUUUUUAACUCCUGUGUUAUUUAGGCAUUGUUUCUUGUACAUUUCAGUGUUUAUUCUCUGUCUGGUACCUUUUUUGCAAUAAAUCCCAUCUUUUGUUUUCAAGUAUGUUCACUUAUUUUCAUGGAGCCCGAAGUGUGUUUGGAUGCCAUUGGUGGUCUGCUUCCUUAUAAAAUAUUAAAGGAGCAAAAACUUCUAUGGAGCUAGAAGCUGAAGAAGUCAUGGUUAUUUUUUCCAAAAACUAUGACAACUUUUUGCCGUGUGCUCUUUUGCAAAUGCAGGCAGAUCAUUAGAGAUGGCCUGCAAGAGCCAGUUUUUGCCAGGUAAUCAGACGUGGCAAUUUCAUACAGCCACCUCUGGAAAAAAGGAGGAAGAGUCCUACAUUUGAAUGAUUGAUUUCGAAUUAUGACAUACAUAUGCAAGGACUGCAAAAGGGAAUUUGUAUGAAAUAUUAAGCACGCAACUCCCAUGUACAUAGCUUCCGCCCAUAUAAUUCACAUCACCGUUUAGCAUAAUUACCAAUGGCAAAAUAUGGAACGCCUACCUCAAUCGUAGUGUUGAACCAUCUUGAUUACAAUUUUUCUUUUUUGUUAGGAAUAGUCAGAAAAUUAAGCAUACACUACGUUGAAAGUCAAUUCUGUCAUAAUACUGUGAAGAGGAUAAUUGUUAACUCAAUAGCAGAACUUUCAAUAUUGAUCCAGAAAAUUUAGUCCAUGUGACCUGUGUCGAUUAUUCUCGACAUUGGACAAAAAAAAAUCGAGAUUAUUGGCGAAUCCAACAUAGUUUGAUACGUAAGGGUUGGCUUGAAAAUGAUAGUGAAAAGCUCAGCUCAAUAUUCCUAUUGUUAGACCCUGCAACCAUCUCCUUUCAUGUUUAACUUUAUGAAUCGGUUAAAUGAACCUAAUAAUGCCAGAUUUUAUCACUAUGUUCCACACUAUGGAAACUACGAGGCAAAAUGGAUUCAUGACAAACUAACUAAAUUAAUUGGAAUACUUAAUUUUCCCGAAGAGUUCACAAAAGUGAAUGGAUAGAAAUUUCUUUGAACAGUUGGCUAACUUUAACCGAAAUCAACAAAGCUGCAUUUCAUGUUACCCAAUUGAGUUGUUUUUUUUAUUUUUAACCAGCAACGAACCAAUUACCGAAAGCUUUUUAAUAACUUUGUCUUCAGAAUUUCCUAUUGAUCACGAAGAAUAUGCUAAGAGAAUUUCGAGGUACCUAGGGUGUUGCUCAGUUUUCUGUUGAUAAAUCAUUAAUAAAUCAAAGUCUGGAAUCUAAUAAAUUCUGUUAAAUGUGAUUAGAGGGCAUCAAGCAACAAGAAAUACAGUUACACAAAGUCCCGCUACGAUUAUACAGGGUGUCCGGAAGUUAACGUACUUAACUUUCAGGAUCGCUUUUUCGGCUCAAAAUAUGACUUUUUUUUCCCUAUACACAUAUGCCCGAAACGCUUCAUAAGUGACGUAAGCCGUUUUUCGAAAUAUCAACGCUAACUCAAGCUUCGAGACAGUCGUUGCAGCAAAAAUUGCCUACCCAGCAAGGAGCUGCGAAAAUCUUAAAAUUGUCAAAGCUCUUUUGCGUCGAAAUGACGCGUUUCUGGAAAAUUUUGUGCGGUCCCUUCGGCGCCUUGAUUUUUCGCGCUCUAAUGCCGUAAUCCGUUUUUCAAAAUAUCAUCUACCAAAAAGUUAUCGCAAUUUCCAAAUUCGGGAACGCUUGUGACGUCAUUUUUCGUAGACGUACGUCCUUGAAAACACAAAAAAUGAUAGUGGUAAAAAGUACCCCCCAAUACAAAGUUUCAUCACACUUAUGACAAAAUGACGAGGAUUUACAUUAAAUCAAAGAGAAAAAAAUGGCAACUUUGGAAGCGCGUGGCUCAUUUAUGAAGCGUUUUCGGGCAUAUGUGUAUAGGAAAAAAAGUCAUAUUUUGAGCCGAUAAAGCGAUCCUGAAAGUUAAGUACGUUAUCUUCCGGACACCCUGUAUGUAAGGAAGAAAUUAGGUAACCAUCAAAUAUUUUCAGCGUAUGGUUCCGUUGUGCAUCAGAAGUCGUCGGAAUUAAAAUUCGCGGCAUGAGGGCGCAGUUACUAGGGAGAUAGUUGCUUUUAUGGUCGCAAGAGCUCGUGGCGCUACGGUAGUUUUUCCCGCGCUUUCCUCGACCACGCUAUGGCGGCAUUUUGAUUCGACGGGAGUCGGCUCCGACGAGCGCUCCCCUCCCCCUCCGACCCAGUGAUGGAGGGGCGGUGACAUAAUACCGGGCGACAUUGCGGUAAUGUUGCUCACCUUUCAGUUAGAAAUAUUAUUUGUCAGUAAUGUGUCAAGAAAAUCGUUAGGCUAAGAGAUUCCCUAAAAAUUAUCCUUUUCAAAGAGAAAUAAAAAUUAAAGAAAUAAAGGAUUCCUUUUAUCUGAGGAAAUUUUGUUACUCAGGGGCAUUCUAACUUUGGAUGGGACAUUUAGGGACUUCAUACCUUAAUUUAAGUUAAUUAUAGCAGGUGAUAGAAGCAGACCUGACUCUAAACAUUGGCACAGAAAAAUUGAGCAAGGUGUAGGUCUAGUUGGGAAAUUCAAUGGAUCGUAUUCGAUAGUGGUUCAAUGUAUGAUUUGGUUCAAACAAUAGAACAAAACCUCAAACUAAAAUUGAAGGAUAUCUGUCGGAAAAGCUGAAAAAGAGAAAAUUUCGUAGCAAUUUCACUACUUUUGACCAAUAAGUACUCAUACGAAUCAAAAAUCUAUCACAAAAAAACCCAAACCAAAAUCCCAUGACUCAAUUGACUUUUGAGGCUAUGUUUUAUGUUUUGAAUCAAUUGAUACCAAUGCAAUCUCACCCCUUUGAUGUAUCGAAUACGAUCUAUAGAAAAAGAAAGGGGGGAGAACCCUAGCAGCAUUGAUGAGUGAAUUUGAACGAGUUCAACGGAAAUGCAUCGAGUCAGAUUAAGUUCGAACAGAGAAAAAGAGGCCAGAGGUAU